RNAcentral lists this long non-coding RNA (722 nucleotides) under Bos taurus (domestic cattle). RNAcentral describes it as "long non-coding RNA NONBTAT004155". Lineage: Eukaryota; Metazoa; Chordata; Mammalia; Artiodactyla; Bovidae. The record is from RNAcentral.
CUCCUCAGCCGUGAAACUUUUCUCCAUCCCCCAGAAGUCUGCCUCUGCAUGACCAUUAUCCAUGUGGACGAUUUCUUCAGGCACUGACUCCCCAGCAGUCUUUGCCUCAUCUCCCCAUUAGAUCACAGGCUUUUUGAGGGAUCCAAGCCUGUCUCAUUUACUUUGAAUAUUUCUCAGAGUGAUGUUACUUAUAAAUAUUUAGAACGCAAGACAGAGAAAGAACCAAGAUGUUUUUCUGCCUCCAGAGAUCAGUUUGCUUAGACACAAAAGAAAAAAAUUACAAAAUAUUUUAAAAGGCUGCAAAUAUUUUAGAUCCGAGAUUCCAAGACAGAAAAUGUGAGCAAUAAUAUACUGUAUGCUAUGGAAAUACAAGAAGCAACCCAAUUCCUUCUUAAGGUCGAAACCCAGAUCGAUUAGCAACUCUUCGAUGAAGCCCUGGUCUCCAGGAUCCUCUUCCGGUUCCCACCACUACUGCAGUAAGUUCCCACUGCGGCCUGAGUUCUGUAUUGUAACCCUUCAUGGACGGAGCUGUCUCUCCCACGUCCUGCAGGCUGGAGACCUCCCUUACUCAACCCUCUAUGAGUAAGGGUUGACAUAGACCGCAGACUGACAUGACACACCAUGAGUUUUAGGCAUUUAUUGACUGAACGGACCCAACGAAUGAAAGAAAAGCCCACACAGGAAUUUUCUGAAUUUGUUGAAUCAAAUCAUAUUGAGGUAUU